This 227-nucleotide ribosomal RNA is filed under the name uncultured bacterium. Its description in RNAcentral is "partial 16S ribosomal RNA". It matches the Rfam family "Bacterial small subunit ribosomal RNA", at positions 383 to 607 of the family's 1533-position model. The record is from RNAcentral.
CUGAACCAGCCAAGUAGCGUGAAGGAUGAAGGCUCUAUGGGUCGUAAACUUCUUUUAUAUAAGAAUAAAGUGCAGUAUGUAUACUGUUUUGUAUGUAUUAUAUGAAUAAGGAUCGGCUAACUCCGUGCCAGCAGCCGCGGUAAUACGGAGGAUCCGAGCGUUAUCCGGAUUUAUUGGGUUUAAAGGGAGCGUAGGUGGACAGUUAAGUCAGUUGUGAAAGUUUGCGG